GCUCAGGACGAACGCUGGCGGCGUGCCUAAUACAUGCAAGUGGAACGCUUUUUCUCUCCCGUUUCUUCGGAAACACCUGAGAAAAAGAGUCGCGAACGGGUGAGUAACGCGUAGGUAACCUGCCUUGUAGCGGGGGAUAACUAUUGGAAACGAUAGCUAAUACCGCAUAACAAUGGAGUACACAUGUACUUUAUUUGAAAGGAGCAAUUGCUCCACUACGAGAUGGACCUGCGUUGUAUUAGCUAGUUGGUAGGGUAACGGCCUACCAAGGCAACGAUACAUAGCCGACCUGAGAGGGUGAUCGGCCACACUGGGACUGAGACACGGCCCAGACUCCUACGGGAGGCAGCAGUAGGGAAUCUUCGGCAAUGGGGGGAACCCUGACCGAGCAACGCCGCGUGAGUGAAGAAGGUUUUCGGAUCGUAAAGCUCUGUUGUAAGAGAAGAACGAG
This 451-nucleotide ribosomal RNA is filed under the name Streptococcus rifensis. RNAcentral's name for it is "bacterial SSU rRNA". It matches the Rfam family "Bacterial small subunit ribosomal RNA", at positions 22 to 453 of the family's 1533-position model. Lineage: Bacteria; Bacillati; Bacillota; Bacilli; Lactobacillales; Streptococcaceae. The record is from RNAcentral.